Molecule: ribosomal RNA, 443 nt
Filed under: uncultured bacterium
Lineage: Bacteria
Description: partial 16S ribosomal RNA
Rfam family: Bacterial small subunit ribosomal RNA
Source: RNAcentral
CCUACGGGGGGCAGCAGUGGGGAAUAUUGGGCAAUGGGCGCAAGUCUGACCCAGCAACGCCGCGUGAAGGAAGAAGGCUUUCGGGUUGUAAACUUCUUUUCUCAGGGACGAAGAAAGUGACGGUACCUGCGGAAUAAGCCACGGCUAACUACGUGCAAGCAGCCGCGGUAAUACGUAGGUGGCAAGCGUUAUCCGGAUUUAUUGGGUGUAAAGGGCGUGUAGGCGGGAGCGCAAGUCAGAUGUGAAAACUCAGGGCUCAACCCUGAGCCUGCAUUUGAAACUGUGUUUCUUGAGUGCUGGAGAGGCAAUCGGAAUUCCGGGUGUAGCGGUGAAAUGCGUAGAUAUACGGAGGAACACCAGUGGCGAAGGCGGAUUGCUGGACAGUAACUGACGCUGAGGCGCGAAAGCGUGGGGAGCAAACAGGAUUAGAUACCCCAGUAGUC